UCCACGCCGUAAACGAUGUCUACUAGGUUGUGGAAGUUCUGACGCUUGCACGGCCGAAGCAAAAGUGAUAAGUAGACCGCCUGGGGAGUACGGUCGCAAGGCUAAAACUCAAAGGAAUUGACGGGGGCUCACACAAGCGGUGGAGCAUGUGGAUUAAUUCGAAGCAACGCGCAGAACCUUACCUGGGCUUGACAUGCUUGGAUGCUGUCCAUGAAAGUGGGUUAGCUGCCCUUCGGGGUGAAACUUGCACAGGUGCUGCAUGGCUGUCGUCAGCUCGUGUCGUGAGAUGUCGGGUUAAGU
RNAcentral lists this ribosomal RNA (300 nucleotides) under uncultured bacterium. RNAcentral describes it as "bacterial SSU rRNA". It matches the Rfam family "Bacterial small subunit ribosomal RNA", at positions 794 to 1085 of the family's 1533-position model. The record is from RNAcentral.